UGUGGCCACUGGCCUUAGGAGCAGGAGGCCGAGCAGCCAGGGCUGCUUUCCCAUCGCUGUCUCAGCUGCUCCCGCUGGCCUUCUGCUCAGGCUGGUGUCUCCUUGGCCGGCUCCCUGCUUCUCAGCUCAUGCCUCCAGCCUUCUGGACUCUAGGAUCACAUGUGGCUGCCCACCUCGGACAGGGUUGACUAGAGGUGAAGAGGUGCCAUGCACUCCAGGAGAAGAGCUGACUGGAUCCUAUACUCAAAGAAUGGGCCACGGAUCCCUACCUGUCCACUGUUUGUUACUGGGCUGGGAAGCUGCAAGACCCGAUGCUGGGGAACUUCCAGUCUAUGCUGAGUAAGAGUGAUGAGAGCAGACAUCCUGCCUUUGUUCCUAAUCUUAGGAGGAAAGCAUUCAAUCUUUCACAGAUAAUAAUUUCCACUAGAACUUUGGGGAGCUCAGCAGAUGCAAUUGGAUUUUUUUGUCCAAACUAAUGACUUGUUUCUGGAAAGAAAACUGUUACCAUCAA
This 511-nucleotide long non-coding RNA is filed under the name Homo sapiens (human). Its description in RNAcentral is "HSALNT0383828". Lineage: Eukaryota; Metazoa; Chordata; Mammalia; Primates; Hominidae. The record is from RNAcentral.